This 1193-nucleotide long non-coding RNA is filed under the name Homo sapiens (human). RNAcentral describes it as "HSALNT0150186". The record is from RNAcentral. Lineage: Eukaryota; Metazoa; Chordata; Mammalia; Primates; Hominidae.
GGUUCAAGUGAUUCUCCUGCCUCAGCCUCCCAGGUAGCUGGGAUUACAGGUUCACGUCACCACACGAGGCUAAUUUUGUAUUUUUAGUAGAGAUGAGGUUUCACCAUGUCAGACAGGCUGGUCUCAGAUUCCUGACCUCAGGUGAUCCGCCCACCUUGGCCUCCCAAAGUGCUGGGAUUACAGGCAUGAGCCACUGUGCCCAGUCUGAGAAGACCAAUCUUAUGCAAACCUCUUACUGGGCCCAGCAAUUCAACUGUGACCCCUCUGGCCUCUCUGGCUUCCCUCCAGAACCCUGCCUGCCCCAUGGUUGUAUAGGCUGGGGACACUAAUGACUCCCCCAAAAGCCUGUCAGGAUUUUAAAAAUUGGGCUCUUCGGAACUUCUGUGGAAAAUUGAAGAGCAUGUGAAGACACAGUGAGAAUGUGGCCAUCUGCAAGCCAGGAGGCAUGCCCUCAUCAAAACCUGAUCAUGCUGGCAUCUUCAUCUUGGAAUUUCAGCCUCCAGAACUAUAAGAAAAUAAAUCUCGAUUGGGCAUCAAGGUAUAAGAAAAAAGAGAAAGAAGAGAAAAGAAAAGAAAUGUCUGUUGUCGAAGCCACUCCACCUAUGGUAUUUUGCUAUGGCAGCCUGAACUGACUAUGAGAGGCUGUGAGAAAGACUUGGCCCAGUGUUGCCAGCUUUGACAACAAAGGAAGGUGACCAUGAGCCAAGGCAGCGGGCAGCCUGUAGAAGCUGGAGAAGUCAAGGAAAUAGAUUGUCCUUUAGAUCUGCUAGAAAGGAACACAGCCUUGCUGACACCUUGAUUUUAGCCCUGUGAGAUCCAUGUCAUGCUUAUGACUUAGAGAACUGCAAAAUAAUAAAUUCGUGUUGUCUGAAGCCACUAACGAGUGUGGCAGUUUGUUACAGCAACAAUAGACAAUGAAUACAGAUACUAAGAAUCAGAUAGGCAGGGCUGACUACUAAAUAUUUCAAGGAGUUAAAACAUGCAAAAGUUCACGCUAAAGUUAUUAAAACUAGAAAUAAAAGUGCUUAAAAAUGUUUGCUAGCAACUGCCUUGUACAUAACAUCAACAGCUACAGUCAUUUUUUUCUUGCUGUUUGCGUCAAUCCAGGGCACUUACUUCAAAGACUAUCGAGAGAAUCUCAUUGGUGCUCACAUUUUAGUAUUAUUGAAUAAUUUAUAAGGAUUAAAUCAAGA